GACGAACGCUGGCGGCGUGCUUAACACAUGCAAGUCGAACGGAAAGGCCUCUUUCGGGGGGUACUCGAGUGGCGAACGGGUGAGUAACACGUGAGUAACCUGCCCUUGACUUUGGGAUAACUUCAGGAAACUGGGGCUAAUACCGGAUAGGAGCUCCUGCUGCAUGGUGGGGGUUGGAAAGUUUCGGCGGUUGGGGAUGGACUCGCGGCUUAUCAGCUUGUUGGUGGGGUAGUGGCUUACCAAGGCUUUGACGGGUAGCCGGCCUGAGAGGGUGACCGGCCACAUUGAGACUGAGAUACGGCCCAGACUCCUACGGGAGGCAGCAGUGGGGAAUAUUGCACAAUGGGUGGAAGCCUGAUGCAGCAACGCCGUGUGCGGGAUGACGGCCUUCGGGUUGGAAACCGCUUUCGCUCAUGACGAAGCUUUGUGUGACGGUAGUGGGUAAAGAAGCACCGGCUAACUACGUG
RNAcentral lists this ribosomal RNA (467 nucleotides) under uncultured bacterium. Its description in RNAcentral is "partial 16S ribosomal RNA". It matches the Rfam family "Bacterial small subunit ribosomal RNA", at positions 28 to 507 of the family's 1533-position model. The record is from RNAcentral.